This 270-nucleotide ribosomal RNA is filed under the name uncultured archaeon. RNAcentral describes it as "partial 16S ribosomal RNA". It matches the Rfam family "Archaeal small subunit ribosomal RNA", at positions 477 to 747 of the family's 1478-position model. The record is from RNAcentral.
CAGCACCUCAAGUGGUCAGGAUGAUUAUUGGGCCUAAAGCAUCCGUAGCCGGCGCUGUAAGUUUUCGGUUAAAUCUGUACGCUCAACGUACAGGCUGCCGGGAAUACUGCAGCGCUAGGGAGUGGGAGAGGUAGACGGUACUCGGUAGGAAGGGGUAAAAUCCUUUGGUCUAUUGAUGACCACCUGUGGCGAAGGCGGUCUACCAGAACACGUCCGACGGUGAGGGAUGAAAGCUGGGGGAGCAAACCGGAUUAGAGACCCGAGUAGUCC